RNAcentral lists this unclassified non-coding RNA (502 nucleotides) under Hevea brasiliensis (rubber tree). The record is from RNAcentral. Lineage: Eukaryota; Viridiplantae; Streptophyta; Magnoliopsida; Malpighiales; Euphorbiaceae.
GAAACAUAAAAAUAGAGAUACUGGAGCUGCUUCCUCGACAGGUAACAACCUUUGACUGCGACAAUUUGAAUUCAGGCAUUAACUUGAGUGAGCUGUAUAUCUGCUGCCCCUAUCCCUGCAUUCCUGUUAACUUGAGUGAGCUGCACAUCUGCUGUCCCUCUUCCUGCAUUCCUGGUACUAGUACGAUGGUGACGAUCAUAACCCUUGCCAACAAAUGCAUCCACAACACCUUGUCUUCAUGACUGGAUUUUGUUUACUUAAAUGCUAUCUGAAUAGGGUGAGGUUUGACAUGAAGGUUCUGCAAACAAGAUCUAUGCUGCAUGGAUUUUCUUCAGUUAGUAGAUUGAUGAAUGUUGAUUGUAACUUAUUAGAAGAUAAAUGUGAAAUUUGUAUAAAACCACUAUUAGGACUUCUUUACAGAUAUUAUGAGUUACUUGAAAACCUGCUGAAUAAUUGACUCCUCAUAUCUGAAUUUUCAUACUCAAUGUGUACUGCUUUUCUG